UAGGGAAUCUUCCACAAUGGACGCAAGUCUGAUGGAGCAACGCCGCGUGAGUGAAGAAGGUUUUCGGAUCGUAAAGCUCUGUUGUUGGUGAAGAAGGAUAGAGUUAGUAACUGGCCUUUAUUUGACGGUAAUCAACCAGAAAGUCACGGCUAACUACGUGCCAGCAGCCGCGGUAAUACGUAGGUGGCAAGCGUUGUCCGGAUUUAUUGGGCGUAAAGCGAGCGCAGGCGGAAGAAUAAGUCUGAUGUGAAAGCCCUCGGCUUAACCGAGGAACUGCAUCGGAAACUGUUUUUCUUGAGUGCAGAAGAGGAGAGUGGAAUUCCAUGUGUAGCGGUGGAAUGCGUAGAUAUAUGGAAGAACACCAGUGGCGAAGGCGACUCUCUGGUCUGCAACUGACGCUGAGGCUCGAAAGCAUGGGUAGCGAACAGG
Molecule: ribosomal RNA, 429 nt
Filed under: bacterium
Lineage: Bacteria
Description: partial 16S ribosomal RNA
Rfam family: Bacterial small subunit ribosomal RNA
Source: RNAcentral